RNAcentral lists this ribosomal RNA (222 nucleotides) under uncultured bacterium. Its description in RNAcentral is "partial 16S ribosomal RNA". It matches the Rfam family "Bacterial small subunit ribosomal RNA", at positions 114 to 334 of the family's 1533-position model. The record is from RNAcentral.
ACCGUAUCCAACCUGCCGUCUACUCUUGGCCAGCCUUCUGAAAGGAAGAUUAAUCCAGGAUGGCAUCAUGAGUUCACAUGUCCGCAUGAUUAAAGGUAUUUUCCGGUAGACGAUGGGGAUGCGUUCCAUUAGAUAGUAGGCGGGGUAACGGCCCACCUAGUCAACGAUGGAUAGGGGUUCUGAGAGGAAGGUCCCCCACAUUGGAACUGAGACACGGUCCAA